GGGUGCUCUUGAUGACAAGUGAUGCCCCCUGGGUUGCAGGUCACCACUGGAACAUCUGUGAGACUUUCAGCAAGAAACUAAAUGAGAAAAGGAGCAACAGCUUUCCUUGCUUAGGACACUCAGACAGGAGAUGAAAAGGUCCUUGUGAGACUGGAUAUUUAUCUUUCACUGGCACAUAAAACUGCAGAAGAAAAACUGAAUGUAAAUGCCAAAAAUGAGAGAAGACAGUGGUCAAGCUGCUGUAACUGUAUGUACUUCUACCAGUAAGGGCACUGAAGUGACAACAUUCGUCCCCAGUAUGCAGGCAUAAAAUGUCAUCUGGAAAAACAAAUAAAGGCUCCUGGAGGAGUAAUCAUGCUGGUAUUUGGUGGAGGUGGGUUAUGCCAUCAGUACAAACAGCACACCCUGAACAGGGAAUCUGACUGUUUCCAAGGAAUUCUUCCAGUCCCCUG
RNAcentral lists this long non-coding RNA (452 nucleotides) under Gallus gallus (chicken). RNAcentral describes it as "long non-coding RNA NONGGAT011944". Lineage: Eukaryota; Metazoa; Chordata; Aves; Galliformes; Phasianidae. The record is from RNAcentral.